GACGAACGCUGGCGGCGUGCUUAACACAUGCAAGUCGAACGGAAAGGCCCUGCUUUUGUGGGGUGCUCGAGUGGCGAACGGGUGAGUAACACGUGAGUAACCUGCCCUUGACUUUGGGAUAACUUCAGGAAACUGGGGCUAAUACCGGAUAGGAGCUCCUGCUUCAUGGUGGGGGUUGGAAAGUUUCGGCGGUUGGGGAUGGACUCGCGGCUUAUCAGCUUGUUGGUGGGGUAGUGGCUUACCAAGGCUUUGACGGGUAGCCGGCCUGAGAGGGUGACCGGCGACAGUGGGACUGAGGGACGGCGCAGACGCCUAUGGGAGGGAGCGGGGGGGAAAAUUGCACAAUGGGCGGGAGCCUGAGGCAGCAACGCCGCGUGGGGGAUGAGGGGCGUUGGGUUGUAAACCGCGUUCGCCGGUGACGAAGAGUGAGUGAGGGGGAUGGGGAAAGAAACACCGGCUAAAUACGUG
This 468-nucleotide ribosomal RNA is filed under the name uncultured bacterium. RNAcentral's name for it is "partial 16S ribosomal RNA". It matches the Rfam family "Bacterial small subunit ribosomal RNA", at positions 28 to 507 of the family's 1533-position model. The record is from RNAcentral.